UACGUAGGAAGCGAGCGUUAUCCGGAUUUAUUGGGCGUAAAGCGUGUGUAGGCGGUUUACUAAGUCUGAGAUUAAAGGCUAUGGCUUAACCAUAGUUUGUUUCAGAAACUGGUAGACUAGAGUGCAGUAGAGGCAAAUGGAAUUCAUAGUGUAGCGGUGGAAUGCGUAGAUAUUAUGAGGAACAUCAGUGGCGAAGGCGAUUUGCUGGGCUGUUACUGACGCUGAGACACGAAAGCGUGGGGAGCAAAUAGGAUUAGAUACCCUAGUAGUCCACGCUGUAAACGAUGAGCACUAAGUGUCGGGAAACCGGUGCUGAAGUUAACACAUUAAGUGCUCCGCCUGAGUAGUACGGUCGCAAGACUGAA
Molecule: ribosomal RNA, 365 nt
Filed under: uncultured bacterium
Lineage: Bacteria
Description: bacterial SSU rRNA
Rfam family: Bacterial small subunit ribosomal RNA
Source: RNAcentral